This 203-nucleotide long non-coding RNA is filed under the name Capsicum annuum. RNAcentral describes it as "long non-coding RNA (CANN_LNC008482)". Lineage: Eukaryota; Viridiplantae; Streptophyta; Magnoliopsida; Solanales; Solanaceae. The record is from RNAcentral.
UAUUUAUACCAUUGUCUAAUAAUUAUUUUACUAUAUAUCCUAUCCAUAAUUGUAUCAUUUUAUCUACAUCUGUUACAUAGUCUAAGUCUAGGAAGUUAUAAUAUUUAUUAAUUAUUUGUUUAGGUGUCCAUUUGUUGUAUUCAUCCUUUUGGUUAUAUUUUUUAAACUUAUUUUUAUAAUAAUAUGUAGGUUUUCUUAUUUUU